UUUGGACCCACCUGAUUCCAUCCCGAACUCAGAAGUGAAACGAAACAGCGUCGAUGGUAGUGUGGGGUUUCCCCAUGUGAGAGUAGAACAUCGCCAGGC
This 99-nucleotide ribosomal RNA is filed under the name Vibrio cholerae. Lineage: Bacteria; Pseudomonadati; Pseudomonadota; Gammaproteobacteria; Vibrionales; Vibrionaceae. RNAcentral also lists the same sequence under 3 other names. The record is from RNAcentral.